CCUACGGGUGGCAGCAGUGGGGAAUAUUGGACAAUGGGGGCAACCCUGAUCCAGCCAUGCCGCGUGUGUGAAGAAGGCCCUCGGGUUGUAAAGCACUUUCAGUGAGGAAGAACGCCUGGUGGUUAAUACCCAUCAGGAAAGACAUCACUCACAGAAGAAGCACCGGCUAACUCCGUGCCAGCAGCCGCGGUAAUACGGAGGGUGCGAGCGUUAAUCGGAAUUACUGGGCGUAAAGCGCGCGUAGGUGGCUUGAUAAGUCGGUUGUGAAAGCCCCGGGCUCAACCUGGGAACGGCAUCCGGAACUGUCAAGCUAGAGUGCAGGAGAGGAAGGUAGAAUUCCCGGUGUAGCGGUGAAAUGCGUAGAGAUCGGGAGGAAUACCAGUGGCGAAGGCGGCCUUCUGGACUGACACUGACACUGAGGUGCGAAAGCGUGGGUAGCAAACAGGAUUAGAUACCCGAGUAGUC
RNAcentral lists this ribosomal RNA (465 nucleotides) under Vreelandella stevensii. Its description in RNAcentral is "partial 16S ribosomal RNA". It matches the Rfam family "Bacterial small subunit ribosomal RNA", at positions 338 to 795 of the family's 1533-position model. Lineage: Bacteria; Pseudomonadati; Pseudomonadota; Gammaproteobacteria; Oceanospirillales; Halomonadaceae. The record is from RNAcentral.